UUGGGGGUCAGAGCAGAGAGAGGGGGGGAGGUUCUGGGGUAUUGGGGUCAGAGAAGAGAGGGAGGGAGGUUCUGGGGUAUUGGGGUCAGAGAAGAGAGGGAGGGAGGUUCUGGGGUAUUGGGGUCAGAGAAGAGAGGGAGGGAGGUUCUGGGGUAUUGGGGUCAGAGAAGAGAGGGAGGGAGGUUCUGGGGUAUUGGGGUCAGAGAAGAGAGGGAGGGAGGUUCUGGGGUAUUGGGGUCAGAGAAGAGAGGGAGGGAGGUUCUGGGGUAUUGGGGUCAGAGAAGAGAGGGAGGGAGGUUCUGGGGUAUUGGGGUCAGAGAAGAGAGGGAGGGAGGUUCUGGGGUAUUGGGGUCAGAGAAGAGAGGGAGGGAGGUUCUGGGGUAUUGGGGUCAGAGAAGAGAGGGAGGGAGGUUCUGGGGUAUUGGGGUCAGAGAAGAGAGGGAGGGAGGUUCUGGGGUAUUGGGGUCAGAGAAGAGAGGGAGGGAGGUUCUGGGGUAUUGGGGUCAGAGAAGAGAGGGAGGGAGGUUCUGGGGUAUUGGGGUCAGAGAAGAGAGGGAGGGAGGUUCUGGGGUAUUGGGGUCAGAGAAGAGAGGGAGGGAGGUUCUGGGGUAUUGGGGUCAGAGAAGAGAGGGAGGUUCUGGGGUUGGGGGUCAGAGAAGAGAGAGGGAGGGAGGUUCUGGGGGGUGGGGUCAGAGAAGAGAGGGAGGGAGGUUCUGGGGUAUGGGGGUCAGAGAAGAGAGAGGGAGGGAGGUUCUGGGGUAUGGGGGUCAGAGAAGAGAGGGAGGGAGGUUCUGGGGUAUGGGGGUCAGAGAAGAGAGGGAGGGAGGUUCUGGGGUAUGGGGGUCAGAGAAGAGAGGGAGGUUCUGGGGUUGGGGGUCAGAGAAGAGAGGGUGGUUCUGGGGUAUUGGGGUUGGGGGUCAGAGAAGAGAGGCAGGGUGGUUCUGGGGUAUUGGGGUUGGGGGUCAGAGAAAAGAGGGUGGUUCUGGGGUAUUGGGGUUGGGGGUCAGAGAAGAGAGAGGGUGGUUCUGGGGUAUGGGGGUUGGGGUCAGAGAAGAGAGAAGGAGGUUCUAGGGUAAUGGGGUGGGGGUCAGAGAAGAGAGAAGGAGGUUCUGGGGUAUUGGGGUGGGGGUCAGCAGGUGAAAGAUUAAAUGGUAUCAGGGCCUGUAUUCAUAAAGCAUCUCAGAGUAGGAGUGCGGAUCUAAGAUCAGAUCCCCUCUAUCAAACUCAUUAUGAUCAGAAUGGCAAAAACUGAUCCUAGCACUCCUACUCUGAAAUGCUUGAUACAUAUGUCCCCAGGAGGAGAAGGGUCAGAGAGACAUUUGGGGA
Long non-coding RNA from Oncorhynchus keta (chum salmon), 1326 nucleotides. RefSeq lists it as uncharacterized. The record is from RefSeq and is a predicted model, not a curated record. The transcript is spliced from 4 exons. NCBI's taxonomy places the organism in Eukaryota, Metazoa, Chordata, Actinopteri, Salmoniformes, Salmonidae.